AGGCUUGCUCUGAGUGAUAAUGUACCAGAUCUUAUCUGAUCUUAGACACUAAUGAGGGUCAGACCUGGUUCGUAUUUGGAUGAGAGACUGCCUGAGAAUACAAGUGCUGUGUUUA
This 115-nucleotide ribosomal RNA is filed under the name Phascolarctos cinereus (koala). Lineage: Eukaryota; Metazoa; Chordata; Mammalia; Diprotodontia; Phascolarctidae. The record is from RNAcentral.